Molecule: unclassified non-coding RNA, 1027 nt
Filed under: Hevea brasiliensis (rubber tree)
Lineage: Eukaryota; Viridiplantae; Streptophyta; Magnoliopsida; Malpighiales; Euphorbiaceae
Source: RNAcentral
UAAUAGGCCAAUAGCUAUAGUUUAGUUAAUCAUGUCAUUCAACCAUUAGAGCACAUGUAAUGAUUAAAAGUGCUGGUAUAUUUUCUCUUAAUGUCAAGUAAUGUUUUGCUUCUUUUCCGAAUUUCACUAUAAUCUUUAUAUCCCUCUGCCCUCCUAUUCUCUCAAAACCAAAGUUCUAACAUGAACUGAAUUAAUUCAGUUUGAUUAUUUAUUAACUCGGUUUCGGUUCGGUUUUAUAUUUUGAGAAUUUUGGUCUAUUCAGUUUUAUUGGUUUAGUGCAAUUUUAAACCAAACCGACUGAUGCUCACCCCCUACAUAUGAGGCAGUCACAUAAGAAAGGUCUGGUUUCUCAAUUGUGAAUGACGGAAUGAGUAGUGAAAAUGAUUCUUGCAUGUUUCUUUCGACCUAAUGUCAUAUUAUGCAUUUAGUUGCAUCAUCAUGUAUCAUUAGCACCUUUAGUGAUGAUGAUUAUCACAUGCGUUGAAGCUCACACUAAAUUGGUAUUGAAGCUAAUAGGCCAAUAGAGCUAAUCGUGGUAUUUAACCAUUUGAUCACAUGUUAUACUUCGCUGCAGAGUUUUCAAUCAUAUGGCAAUUUCAGUUUUCAUCUAGCUCAUUUAUGGGUGUGGGGUCCAAAGUUGUAAAUGUAAAUCUGAUAAUUUUGCUGAGAAUUCAUCAGCAUUCACAUUCUAACUAGAUGCUCAAGUAAACUCUUUUUGCUUUUUUAGCAUUUAUCAUUUUUCUAUGACAAUGAUAUUUGUUAAUUCUCUUAUAUGGGUGGUUUAUUGUUGUACAUUCUUUCACCUGAAGAGAGCCUCGUGGUUCUUGGUUUAGGGGGUUCUCUUAUGUGUUUGUCUCAAGCUGCAGUUGACACAAAAGAGACAAAUAUAUUUAUGGGUAUAUGAAAAAGAUUGCAUAUGCAUGUUUCCUCAUAGGAUUCCACUCGAUCUUUAAAUGUUAUAUUUGUUGUUAUUUGAUGUAGCAUGGGGUUGAUUGUCACUCCUUAUUCCUCCGUAAAGCAUAAUAUA